Molecule: long non-coding RNA, 1083 nt
Organism: Carassius gibelio (silver crucian carp)
Lineage: Eukaryota; Metazoa; Chordata; Actinopteri; Cypriniformes; Cyprinidae
Exons: 5
Source: RefSeq, a predicted model, not a curated record
CUGACACGCCAUGCUGCUCUCACAGUACACACCUUGUUCUCACACAGCGAAUAAUACAUCGUGGACCAAAGAGGAAACUGACAACACACAGACAGAAGAAGACAGAGAAGGUCACUUCUGAUCCAUCAAAGUCCUCAUCUUCUGUGUCUGAGUUGAACAGCUUUCUUCAUCUAACAUGCCGGGUUCCCUCUCAUCAUGGUUGAUCACUGCCAGUGUACGUAUUACAUCCCUGUGUCAGCGGGAAAUGGUCUGACAGUCAGCCUCGCGUGGAGACUUCAGAAGAUACCAGACCUCACAAAGAUUUCAGAAAGCUGCUAAAUAAUCCUUAUAUUGUAAUCAUUGUCCUAAAAGGGAGGAACUUGUCAGCAAAUCUACUUCACAGCACAUCAGUGAAAGCAGUUAACAGUUACAGACGGGUGUUGGAUCAGGGUCAGAUCUGAAUUCUGCAGGUUUCCUGGGAUGACCGUUGGCCUGGACAGAUGCACAGUACACCACACUGACUUCUUUGCAUGGACAGCUGACUACUACUAUUAUGUUCUGUGAAGGUACUAUUAUAGCAAACCUGAGCACCUGUGACAGUGGAAAUGUUGUAAUGAAUAGUCACACAUGCAUAUUUAUAAACUGAAAGUCACAGAUAAAUUUUUUUAGUACUAACAAUGUAUGUUUUUUUUGUACUAAUUCUCUCCAGCAAACACAACAGUUAUACCAUUUCAUAUUUUGAGGUGCACAAACCCUAUUUUACAAAUAAGAGAAAAGUAUAGACCCUUUGCAUGUGACGUCACCCUCUACUCACGCGAAUUGUGAACGCCAUGACGGACGGCAGAAGAGCUUUGCUGUAGGACGGACCGCAAGCCAAAAGAGUACGAGUUCGUGUUCGUUAGUGUAAUAAAAUGUUUUUUUUUUUUUUUUUUUACUUGUAAGCACAGUGCAGUGAUAAUGGUCAAACUGUGUAUUUACAAUGUUAAAGUGGCUGACAACAAUAAAUAUUCUUAUUAGGAAUAAAACUGCAUCGUUUUUUUAACUGUGCAGAGCAGUAACGUUAGCUGAAUAGUUAGGCCUGCUAUGCUACUGUAAUUUUAAUAU